Molecule: RNA transcript, 3948 nt
Organism: Bemisia tabaci
Lineage: Eukaryota; Metazoa; Arthropoda; Insecta; Hemiptera; Aleyrodidae
Source: RefSeq, a predicted model, not a curated record
CCAGCCAGGUUGUGUGGUUGUGUGCUUCUGUGCUCUUUGGCAAGUGGGACAGGCGAAAUUAUCGGAUCUGCAGCUAGUUGUGGGUUUUGACCGUUAAAAUCUCAGUAGUUAACUUUAAAUUAGGUUUUUUUCGAGGAAAAUUUCAGAGUGCUGAAAAAGUGCUGAAAUUUGAUAAGGCUGAGUGCUGAUUUUUGAAAAUUCCAUCUGGGAACCCCGCAUUGUCUAGGUCAUUGUCUGCAUUUGUCUGCUCGUCUGCUCAUUACACUCUGCUCUCGCUCUGGAACUGUUCAAGUGUUAAUUUUCCUCUUUUCUACAGCGAAAGACUAACCCAAGACCUAAUAGGCUAAUGUAAGGUCCUACAAUAUGCCAACUACACGGAGCAGCUCAAAGAACAAUUGUCCAGAGAUAACAAAUUGUCAGAGAUGUCAGAUUUAUCUCUAUUCACAAAGUUCGUACUUGAAAGCUGUGAUGGCAGAUCAAGACACAAGUGAUUGGUUUUGGAUGUGUGAAAAUUGCUACAUAUCUUCACCUGUACAAGAGCAGACAUUGUGCUUCUUCAGAAUUCCUCAAAAUGGAGGCCUCUUCGAGCAUGAGAGUUCAUUGACAUCUGGAAUUAAUCUCAUCCCAUCAGGAAUUCAAGCGGCAUCACAACCUGUACUUAAGCCUUCUUUAAAAGUUCAUUUUCAUAGCAUAUUUUGUACUGUUUCCAAUUGGUUAAUAUCUCUCAAAGCUCACUCACGAAUAUAUUGUAAUCUACAUAGUGUAGGAAUAUUUACUUUUUUGUUUUUUUUUGUAAUAUUAUUACUCAGCAUCUUCUUAGUUUAUUGGUUUAGGCCUAAUCCAUGUGAAAAUUUAGCAUCAAAAAAUGAGGCUGUUGCCUCUAAAAUAAGGAAUUCAUUUCAUUCCCUUGAAGAAACUUUCCCUCAGCAAAAUAUCGACCUUUGGGUCAACUUUGCAUCAGGUUUCCAAAACAUAGCUGAGAGUAAUGAAAUUUCUCCUGCUGUAUUUUUAAUUCUACAUUCUAAAAACACGAAAACAUCUUUUUGCAUUAUCAACCAAGUCUGCAAGCUUGCGCACCUACAUUUGAAAGUUGACUCAUCACCUUUGGUAUUAGAUGCUGUUCAGCUACAAAACAAGUACUUUGAACAAGGUGAUUUCAUUUUAGAUAUGGAGAAAAAUAUGUUGUCUCGAAAAAUAUCCGUCAUAAGAAAUUUACAUAUGAUGCCAGGAAAAUUAGCCGAAGGCCUUCACGGCCUGACAGACGCGUACAACCCAUUAGUUAAAAAAGUAAUUUAUUUAAUGUCCAUACCUGUCAAUCAGUCUUAUUACUCCAAGAAUGUUUUUGAAUUGGCUGAAGAUGUCCUCCACCAUUCUUGGGUAGAUGUUCAUGAGGAAAAACUUGACCCACUCUUAGCACGACUCACCACCAAUGUUGUUUGGAUUGAAGAUGAAAAGAAGUUCCCAGAGUAUUGUUAGCAUCUUUCUUCACAUGUCCUCUUUCUAUCAGGCAGUUUUCUUUUAAUAGAAAAUUGAAUCUGCGUAUACUCAAAUGCAGCUCAAAUAACCUCACACGGUUCGUUUUAAAAAAAUUUAAUUUUUUCGAAGACCAACGAUAUAUUACGAUAAUUUUUUUUGAUAAUAACGUCAGGGAAAGUCUCUAGAUUGAGAAACUGAAGACCGCAAAAUCGUAAGUGGGGCCUUUUCCUGUUUCCGUGUCAACAAUUUCCUGCAAGAAUUUCCGUUAAAUGAUGGCCUUAAUACGGACAAAUUACGCAGGAUUUCAGAAGAGCACGGAGGUAGAUGUCUGAAAUACGAGUAUGUUAAGUGUUUGCAAGACUUAGAAAACGUCGUGAAAUCGUGUUUUUCGAGCGAACAUGUCCCUAAAUUUACGAUUUAUAUUCAAAUAUUUGAGAAAAGUUUCACAGAUUUAGAGAUACUCGACGCCAAAAAUUCGUACCGUAAUAUACCAUGUGCCUCAAUUCUGCGUCGAGCAUCAAAGAGAAUUGGCCUUAUGUGCCUCAAUUCUGCGUCGAGCAUCAAAGAGAAUUGGCCUUCUUUAGUGAACAAGCCAUUGAAUCAGUGCAUGCAGAUUUUAUAAAAACAUGGAACAAAUACUAAGUUGAUAAAUCGCACCCAAGCUACUCCCGCAGGUUAUUACAAGCCGUUUGCGAAUAUGACAGCUCACAUUUUUGAAAGCUUUUUUUCGUAUAUUUUCCUUCAAUUCUCGAUAGUAAGCACAACGGGUCAUUAACCAAUUAAGAACAGCACAUAGGGGGGAUGUGGUACCGGAGCGGGGAUUGCUGCUCUGGGAGGCCAUGGGAAAAGAGGGGCGGGAAAGAUUUCAUUCAAUUAAAAACUCAAAAUGUCGUUUUACAAAAAUACACAAACUUAAACCUAAUCUUCUCCAAAAAUCGAAUCUUAAAACUGAAAAAAAAAGAAUUUCCAAAAUAUCUGUUUUCAGCUGAUUUAUUGUCAACUUCUUCAGUAUUCAUUAGCUACACGCAAAUUAAAACAAAGACGGAAUUAAUACUGAGUACUACAUUUCAAAUUCAGACUCUAGCGUAAGGUGGGAACAGUUUUAGUGUAUUUUUUUUUAUUUUUAUUUUAGUUUUGACCGAGGUGAUUUAUUCUUUAUCUUCUGUGUGAAUUAAGGAGAAUUCAUCUUUAUUUUCUUGGGAUUUAAGGGGGAAAAGUUUUGCAGAUUUUACUUGCUGAUUUCAAGGAAAGUGAUCAUCUUUUUUCAACCAAAUCCGUUUUCAUUAAUGCUUCCACAUUUAUCCAGUUGAUCUUUCGCGUUCGCAGAAACGGAGGUAAGGGACAAUGACAUAUUUUGCCAGUAUGUCCUAUUGCCAAAGAAAACUCUGUCAGUAUGCCCUUUCAUUACUUAAAUAAAGAGGAAAGAAAGAUUUUGGUCAAAUCUGUAAACUGGCAUUUUCUAUAAUAUUUUCCAAUCUUAAGAAAAAUCGGAAAUAUAGCAACUGCAAACGUUUAUUUUUUCGGAUGACUCGAUACUAUUCAUAAAUUAUAAGCAGGUAUUUUUUUUUAUAAUUUUUAACAUAAAUCAAAACUCAACGUCUUCAGACCAUCGUCGUCUUCGUUCCAUCGGUUACAUUACUGUGCCGUGCAUAACUUGGCAACAUCGCAUGGGGGGCCCAAAUUUUUUUGGGGGGCUCCAAACUGUUGGGGAUGUCUUGAUACAUGUUUGGAGACAACAUACUAAAGUUUAAACAUAAUCCGAACAUGGGGAGGGGGUUUUGAUGGCCACGCAUAGGCCUUGGAAGCUAUUUCCCCCUUAAAAAUCGAAAAAGUAAAAAAUUAAAAAACAGCCCCACUUACGAUUUUGCGGUCUUCAGUUUCUCAAUCUAGAGACCUUCCCUGACAUAAUUAUAAAAAAAAAUCGCGUGUGGUCUUCAAAAAAAUUAAAUUUUUUUUAAACAAACCGUGCUCAGACUGAUGUAUUAAUGAUCCUCUUCAGAUUUAAUUUGCUUGACACAGUGACUGAUCCUUUAUGAAUUUGCCAUAGGUUAUGUCCAGUUGUUUGUCAGUUAUGAUAUAACGUAUACUAUUUUCACAUCAAUCUUUGAGGAAGUAAGCCACCAGUCUUUGCUUGAGUGCUCUUCCAUUACGGAGUUUCUGAUGCUUAACAAAUCAAUUCCUGGCUUGUAUCAGGCAUUCUGAAGCUGGAUCUAAUCUAGCACAGAGAAACCCAGCUAUAGCAUGUCAAAACUGAGAAGAAGAGAUUUGAAGUUACAAUACACCAUAAAAGUUCAAAAAUUAAUCUUGAAACCUUAUAUUUCUCAUCUUGGAGUUGUUGAAAUCCAUUACAACAGCUAUUGUAUGUAUUAUCGUACCGGUGGCUAAGAAGCGAAACCAUGUAUCUCCACGGUAACUUUGCUACGUGACAGACUUCUGUAAUAAUUAUUUUUUUAAUAAAACUAGUCAACAUAA